This 360-nucleotide RNase P RNA is filed under the name Flavobacteriales bacterium. RNAcentral's name for it is "RNase P RNA component class A". It matches the Rfam family "Bacterial RNase P class A". Rfam says of the family: Ribonuclease P (RNase P) is a ubiquitous endoribonuclease, found in archaea, bacteria and eukarya as well as chloroplasts and mitochondria. Its best characterised activity is the generation of mature 5'-ends of tRNAs by cleaving the 5'-leader elements of precursor-tRNAs. Lineage: Bacteria; Pseudomonadati; Bacteroidota; Flavobacteriia; Flavobacteriales. The record is from RNAcentral.
AAGCCAAACCGGUUCAUCGCUUGUAGACUUACUGCAAGAGGAAAGUCCGGACAGCAUAGAGCAGCAUGCUUCCUAACGGGAAGGCUUCUANUNUAGAAGACAGCNAGUGCCACAGAAAUAAACUUCCAACGUUUUGUUGGUAAAGGUGAAAAGGUGAGGUAAGAGCUCACCGUGCUAGUGGNGACACUAGUAGCAAGGUAAACCUCAUGUGCUGAAAGACCAAAUAAACCAGGGCUACAAUUUUUGUUGUAGAGUUGCUCGCUCAAUCCUGGAGGGUAGGUUGCUCGAGCUAUUUAGUGAUAAAUAGCCUAGAUAAAUGAUGAACUUCGACAGAAUCCGGCUUACAGGUUUGGCUUUUUU